UUUUGCUCCUGUGAUAAAUCUUCAUUGAUGAUCUACAGAGAAGGUCUGUUGUGUAUUGAACCUUGUGGAUUUCAGGAAUCUGGGUUGCAUUCUUCACAUCAGUGAGUACUAAGUGUGUCACAUUCAUUCUUCGUGUCAUGCUCAUUUGACUGCCACAUGACCUGAGGAUGCUGAAAAUGCACUCUCUGUGAAGGUGAUAAUAAUCUUCCUGUUCAGAAGAUAAAAUAUAACCACCAUGGAGAACAAGAUGACAACCAUGGAGUCUGAGAAUGUAAGAACAUGUCUUCUACUGCCAAGGACCAGCUGACACCCACAGAGGCACAGAAUGGGAAAUGCUUUGUGCACCAAAAGGGAGGAAGUUUAUAAAAAGAUUUUUGUUUUCAUUCAUACUGUGACCUAAGUAACGUCCCAGUUUAAACUUUAAACUCAAGAUCAUUAACUUGUCACAAUGAUUUCUGGCUUAGAACUUCAUAGUAAAAUAAGAAGGCAUUAAAAGGUUUACUAAUUGAUAAGAUAAAGCUUGUUAAAAUGUAAUGCUUUCCAUAUUUCAUAAAUAGAAUGAUUUAAAGUUAUAUUAUUGAAACUACAUGAAUUGUUUAAGCCAGUGACUGACUCACAUGUCAUGCCUCAAAGGUAAAACUAUGACAAAAAUGCUGGGUUCCACUUUUGGAUUUCCAAAAUUGUAAAAUAUCAGGGCUUUGGUCUCUAUUUUGCUAAACAUAAACAUAAAAUGUGAAAAUGUACCCCAUACUUGGGAAAUGUAGAGAAACACAUGCAAAUAAAUAGUUCUCAUUGAGUUAAAGACUGAUGUCAGUUGCAAAUGAUUUACACAAGAAAACUGACUGUCUCACACGCAGCAGUUAACUUUUAUGUUGUAAAAUAGACAGAAUUUGAAAUGAAAUGACCAUACUCUUUUCACAUUUAUGUUACGUUAUUGACAG
This is a non-coding RNA of Coturnix japonica (Japanese quail), 941 nucleotides long. The record is from RefSeq and is a predicted model, not a curated record. NCBI's taxonomy places the organism in Eukaryota, Metazoa, Chordata, Aves, Galliformes, Phasianidae.